This 313-nucleotide ribosomal RNA is filed under the name uncultured bacterium. RNAcentral's name for it is "bacterial SSU rRNA". It matches the Rfam family "Bacterial small subunit ribosomal RNA", at positions 9 to 325 of the family's 1533-position model. The record is from RNAcentral.
GAGUUUGAUCAUGGCUCAGGAUGAACGCUAGCGGGAGGCAUUACACAUGCAGGUCGAGGGGUAUAUUUCUUCGGAAUUAGAGACCGGCGCACGGGUGCGUAACGUGUAUGCAAUCUACCUUUCACAGAGGGAUAGCCCAGAGAAAUUUGGAUUAAUACCUCAUAGUAUAACGACUCCGCAUGGAGAUGUUAUUAAAGUCAUAACGGUGAAAGAUGAGCAUCCGUCCCAUUAGCUAGUUGGCAAGGUAACGGCUUACCAAUGCUACGAUGGGUAGGGGUCCUGAGAGGGAGAUCCCCCACACUGGUACUGAGAC